Molecule: transfer RNA, 85 nt
Filed under: Felis catus (domestic cat)
Lineage: Eukaryota; Metazoa; Chordata; Mammalia; Carnivora; Felidae
Rfam family: tRNA
About the family: Transfer RNA (tRNA) molecules are approximately 80 nucleotides in length.
Source: Rfam by way of RNAcentral
GCCUGGUUGGCUCAGUAGGUUAAGCAUCUGGCUUUAGCUCAGGUCAUGAUCUCACGGUUUGUGGGUUCAGGCCCUGCAUCAGGCU